GAUGAACGCUGACAGAAUGCUUAACACAUGCAAGUCAACUUGAAUUUGGGUUUUUAACUUAGGUUUGGGUGGCGGACGGGUGAGUAACGCGUAAAGAACUUGCCUCACAGCUAGGGACAACAUUUGGAAACGAAUGCUAAUACCUAAUAUUAUGAUAAUAGGGCAUCCUAUAAUUAUGAAAGCUAUAAGCGCUGUGAGAGAGCUUUGCGUCCCAUUAGCUAGUUGGAGAGGUAACGGCUCACCAAGGCGAUGAUGGUAGCCGGCCUGAGAGGGUGAUCGGCCACAAGGGGACUGAGACACGGCCCUUACUCCUACGGGAGGCAGCAGUGGGGAAUAUUGGACAAUGGACCGAGAGUCUGAUCCAGCAAUUCUGUGUGCACGAUGAAGUUUUUCGGAAUGUAAAGUGCUUUCAGUUGGGAAGAAACAAAUGACGGUACCAACAGAAGAAGUGACGGCUAAAUACGUG
Molecule: ribosomal RNA, 466 nt
Filed under: uncultured bacterium
Lineage: Bacteria
Description: partial 16S ribosomal RNA
Rfam family: Bacterial small subunit ribosomal RNA
Source: RNAcentral